GAUGAACGCUGGCGGCGUGCUUAAUACAUGCAAGUCGAGCGAACAGACGAGGAGCUUGCUCCUCUGACGUUAGCGGCGGACGGGUGAGUCACACGUGGAUAAUCCACCUAUAAGACUGGGAUAACUUCGGGAAAGCGGAGCUAAUACCGGAUAACAUGUUGAACCGCGUGGUGUGACAGUGAAAGACGGUGUUGCUGUCACUUAUAGAUGGAUCCGCGCCGCAUUGGGUAGUUGGUACGGUAACGGCUUACCAAGGCAACGAUGCGUAGACGAGGUGAGAGGGUGAUAGGCCACACUGGAACGGAGACACGGACCAUACGCCUACGGUAGGCAGCAGUAGCGAAUCGUCCGCAAAGGGCGAGAGCAUGACGCAGCAACGCCGAGCGAGUUAAGAAAGUGUUCGGAUCGUAAAACUCUCUUAUUAGGGAAGAACAAAUGUCGACGUAACUGAGCCCGGCUUGACGGUAACGAGUAAGAAAGCCACGGCUAACUACGUG
Molecule: ribosomal RNA, 497 nt
Filed under: uncultured bacterium
Lineage: Bacteria
Description: partial 16S ribosomal RNA
Rfam family: Bacterial small subunit ribosomal RNA
Source: RNAcentral